This 397-nucleotide ribosomal RNA is filed under the name uncultured bacterium. RNAcentral describes it as "bacterial SSU rRNA". It matches the Rfam family "Bacterial small subunit ribosomal RNA", at positions 505 to 898 of the family's 1533-position model. The record is from RNAcentral.
GUGCCAGCCGCCGCGGUAAGACAGAGGGGGCAAGCGUUGUCCGGAAUUACUGGGCGUAAAGCGCGCGCAGGCGGCUCGGUAUGUGCCUGGUGACAGUCUCUCGCUCAACGAGAGGAGGCCUGGGUAGACAGCCGAGCUAGCAGCAGGGAGAGGGCAGUGGAAUACCCGGUGGAGCGGUGAAAUGCGUAGAGAUCGGGUGGAACACCAGUGGUGAAGACGGCUGCCUGGCCCUAACUGGACGCUGAGGCGCGACAGCGUGGGGAGCAAACGGGAUUAGAUACCCCGGUAGUCCACGCCGUAAACGAUGUGGAGCCGGUGCUGGCGGGUGAUUGCGCCUGUCGGUGCCCCAGCUUACGCGAUGACUCCACCGCCUGGGAACUACGGCCGCAAGGCUAAA